RNAcentral lists this ribosomal RNA (170 nucleotides) under Drosophila erecta. RNAcentral's name for it is "5.8S ribosomal RNA". It matches the Rfam family "5.8S ribosomal RNA". From Rfam's summary of the family: 5.8S ribosomal RNA (5.8S rRNA) is a component of the large subunit of the eukaryotic ribosome. It is transcribed by RNA polymerase I as part of the 45S precursor that also contains 18S and 28S rRNA. The record is from RNAcentral. Lineage: Eukaryota; Metazoa; Arthropoda; Insecta; Diptera; Drosophilidae.
AACUCUAAGCGGUGGAUCACUCGGCUCAUGGGUCGAUGAUGAACGCAGCAAACUGUGCGUCAUCGUGUGAACUGCAAGACACAUGAACAUCGACAUUUUGAAUGCAUAUCGCAGUUAUGUACUUUAAUUAAUUUUAUAGUGCUGCUUGGACUACAUAUGGUUGAGGGUAG